UACGUAGGGUGCGAGCGUUAAUCGGAAUUACUGGGCGUAAAGCGUGCGCAGGCGGUCUGUUAAGACCGAUGUGAAAUCCCCGGGCUUAACCUGGGAACUGCAUUGGUGACUGGCAGGCUUUGAGUGUGGCAGAGGGGGGUAGAAUUCCACGUGUAGCAGUGAAAUGCGUAGAGAUGUGGAGGAAUACCGAUGGCGAAGGCGGCAUCCUGGACCAAUUCUGACGCUGAGGAGCGAAAGCCAGGGGAGCAAACGGG
Molecule: ribosomal RNA, 254 nt
Filed under: uncultured bacterium
Lineage: Bacteria
Description: partial 16S ribosomal RNA
Rfam family: Bacterial small subunit ribosomal RNA
Source: RNAcentral